GUACUAUGAUCACUAACAACUGCAGAUUCAGAGCAUAAGAACAAGUCAUGACACGAAGCUUGAAUGUUGAACUCAUUGUGGCGUUGUUCUUGAUACAUUGGUGGAAUGUAAGGCAGAGAUUUAAAAUAAGGUUCCUUCUCCAAUGGCAAGAGGAGAUGUCCAUUCUUUGUUCGCCAAUUAGUGCACUGGAGUAGCAAGGUAAAGGGGCAAUGAUCCACUAUUGGCCGACUGUUGUUGUAGUUAACAAAGCAUCUAGCGAAAAAAGGAUCAGUGAUAACAGAGCACCAUUCCUUUGAGACAGACUUGCAUCGCGUGGCG
This is a long non-coding RNA of Quercus robur (English oak), 318 nucleotides long. RefSeq lists it as uncharacterized. The transcript is spliced from 3 exons. NCBI's taxonomy places the organism in Eukaryota, Viridiplantae, Streptophyta, Magnoliopsida, Fagales, Fagaceae. The record is from RefSeq and is a predicted model, not a curated record.